GCAUGGGUGCCCGAGCGGCCAAAGGGGAAGGACUUAAGAUCCUUUGGCAUAGGCCUUCGAGGGUUCGAAUCCCUUCCCAUGCAC
This 84-nucleotide transfer RNA is filed under the name Methanobrevibacter thaueri. Its description in RNAcentral is "tRNA-Leu". It matches the Rfam family "tRNA". From Rfam's summary of the family: Transfer RNA (tRNA) molecules are approximately 80 nucleotides in length. Lineage: Archaea; Methanobacteriati; Methanobacteriota; Methanobacteria; Methanobacteriales; Methanobacteriaceae. The record is from RNAcentral.